UCGAUUAGUUUGAUCAUGGCUCAGGACGAACGCUGGCGGCGUGCUUAACACAUGCAAGUCGAGCGGUAAGGCUCCUUCGGGAGUACACGAGCGGCGAACGGGUGAGUAACACGUGAGCAAUCUGCCCUUCACACUGGGAUACCCCCCGGAAACGGGUGCUAAUACCAGAUACAACCACUUCAGGCAUCUGAUGGUGGUGGAAAGUUCUGGCGGUGAAGGAUGAGCUCGCGGCCUAUCAGCUUGUUGGUGAGGUAAUGGCUCACCAAGGCUUCGACGGGUAGCCGGCCUGAGAGGGUGACCGGCCACACUGGGACUGAGACACGGCCCAGACUCCUACGGGAGGCAGCAGUGGGGAAUAUUGGACAAUGGGCGAAAGCCUGAUCCAGCAACGCCGCGUGAGGGAUGACGGCCUUCGGGUUGUAAACCUCUUUCAGCGGGGACGAAGCGAAAGUGACGGUACCUGCAGAAGAAGCACCGGCCAACUACGUGCCAGCAGCCGCGGUAAUACGUAGGGUGCGAGCGUUGUCCGGAAUUAUUGGGCGUAAAGGGCUCGUAGGCGGUUUGUCACGUCGGGAGUGAAAACUCAGGGCUUAACCCUGAGCCUGCUUCCGAUACGGGCAGACUAGAGGUAUGCAGGGGAGAACGGAAUUCCUGGUGUAGCGGUGAAAUGCGCAGAUAUCAGGGGGAACACCGGUGGCGAAGGCGGUUCUCUGGGCAUUACCUGACGCUGAGGAGCGAAAGUGUGGGGAGCGAACAGGAUUAGAUACCCUGGUAGUCCACACCGUAAACGUUGGGCGCUAGGUG
RNAcentral lists this ribosomal RNA (804 nucleotides) under uncultured bacterium. Its description in RNAcentral is "bacterial SSU rRNA". It matches the Rfam family "Bacterial small subunit ribosomal RNA", at positions 1 to 822 of the family's 1533-position model. The record is from RNAcentral.